RNAcentral lists this long non-coding RNA (729 nucleotides) under Equus asinus (donkey). Its description in RNAcentral is "lncRNA (ENSEASG00005036329.1)". The stretch from base 470 to 572 matches the Rfam family "7SK RNA", at positions 1 to 108 of the family's 331-position model. The record is from RNAcentral. Lineage: Eukaryota; Metazoa; Chordata; Mammalia; Perissodactyla; Equidae.
AUUGCUUUACACUGUUGUGGCUCCAUUUCCUCCUUGCUGUGCUCUGCAUCUGCUCUUAGGAAGAUGGAAACAAAUAUUUAUUAACCUCCUACUAAGUUCCAAACACUAGGCUGAGAGUUACCCCUAGGAUGUCCCAAUCUUUGAAGGCUCUCCCUUCUAACUGUCUGCCCAUGGUGCCCCUGACUUCCAGAGGGGCAUCUCUCUCUUUCUACUCUCUCAGCAUGUCUUUAAACAUGUUUAUAGUGUUUAAUCAGGUCUGUCUUUAUCAGAGUUACUUACAGGAAGUGUUGCUUUGAAUGAGUCUUUGUAUCAAGGGAGGCUUUUUAUCCUACGUAGCUCAGGGCUAGCAGACCACUUUUGUGAAUCAUUCUGAGAGUGCUGAAUGCCUCAGGAAUGCAUACAGGGGCCAGGAAUGGAAAUCCAAAUGAGCAAGUGGGCUGAGUGAGGACUGUGGCAACUUGCAGCUCUAGGCUGGUGGGACGAUCUGGCUGUGCCAUCUGCCAACCCACUGAAAGCCAGGGUGGGUUUGGCUGACCCGGCUGCCAGGGCAGACCUCUCCUCCCGUCUCUGCUUGCCGUUCCAUCUACAUCUCCCCUAAUCUACUCUCCUGAAGAGGACGACCCACCCACAGCAUCCCAAAGGGACUUGAUGCUAUUUCUUGGACAAACAGAAGCCAUAUGUUUACUACACAAAUAAAUAAUGUGAGGCUUUCUCUUGAUUUCUCCUGCU